RNAcentral lists this transfer RNA (78 nucleotides) under Schistocerca americana (American grasshopper). Its description in RNAcentral is "tRNA-Lys". It matches the Rfam family "tRNA". Rfam says of the family: Transfer RNA (tRNA) molecules are approximately 80 nucleotides in length. Their secondary structure includes four short double-helical elements and three loops (D, anti-codon, and T loops). Further hydrogen bonds mediate the characteristic L-shaped molecular structure. tRNAs have two regions of fundamental functional importance: the anti-codon, which is responsible for specific mRNA codon recognition, and the 3' end, to which the tRNAs corresponding amino acid is attached (by aminoacyl-tRNA synthetases). tRNAs cope with the degeneracy of the genetic code in two manners: having more than one tRNA (with a specific anti-codon) for a particular amino acid; and 'wobble' base-pairing, i.e. permitting non-standard base-pairing at the 3rd anti-codon position. The record is from RNAcentral. Lineage: Eukaryota; Metazoa; Arthropoda; Insecta; Orthoptera; Acrididae.
GCCCGGAUAGCUCAGUCGGUAGAGCAUUAGGCUUUUAACCUAAGGGUCCAGGGUUCAAGUCCCAGUCGUGCUCCGGCA